Molecule: ribosomal RNA, 253 nt
Filed under: uncultured bacterium
Lineage: Bacteria
Description: partial 16S ribosomal RNA
Rfam family: Bacterial small subunit ribosomal RNA
Source: RNAcentral
UACGGGGGGGGCAAGCGUUAUCCGGAAUUAUUGGGCGUAAAGAGCUCGUAGGCGGUUUGUCGCGUCUGCCGUGAAAGUCCGGGGCUCAACUCCGGAUCUGCGGUGGGUACGGGCAGACUAGAGUGAUGUAGGGGAGACUGGAAUUCCUGGUGUAGCGGUGAAAUGCGCAGAUAUCAGGAGGAACACCGAUGGCGAAGGCAGGUCUCUGGGCCACUACUGACGCUGAGAAGCGAAAGCAUGGGGAGCGAACAGG